UCAACCCGAAAAAAGUCAUGUAAACAAUGCAAUGACUCCGAAGCUGUUCAGUUAAGGUAAAUUAAGCUAAAAAAAACUGCGUAGUUCCCCUUUAAUUGAGUACCAUUGAGUACUGAAUUACAAAAUACAUCAAUUAAUGUCCAGUUCUAUACGUAAGUGCAUAACAUCUAAAUAUUACUUCAUACUCUUCAGGACAAUAGCUCCCAUUCUAUCAACAAAUUCAUCUAGAUAAGAGAUCACACUGCUCUGACUGAUCGCGCAGAUCAAACUGGUGGCAAAAUUGUCUCUGUUCUGGCGUUAGGCUCCCAGACAAAAUCUCAGCCGCAGUCACCAUGCUGGUAACCUACUCUGCUUUUGCAAUGGUUGAUUACCAGAUUGCGAGAGAUGUUUAAGAUCAUAAUUAGCUGAUAUACUGCCCUAAUAAUAGAUCUGAAUAGGUUCCGGUGCCAAGAUUUGUCAAUCAAGUGGGUGGGGGGAUUAAAGAGCUGUAUAACUUGUUAUGGUGGUUGCAUCUGCAUACCUGCCUCCUGCUAUUGUACAAAGGUUAGUACAAAGUACUCAAUAGAAUCCAAAGGAAUGCAGGGCAUCCUUUUAAAAAGGGCCUCGGCAAAACCAGCUCCUCUCAUUUGCAAAGACGCGGCUAUGCAGUUUUGAAGUGCCAGAUCUUCUCAUAGCGAUGGAUUGCAAGGCCUGUUGCGGGCGUUGCAUUCUCUUCCUGGUCCUGGCAGUGAUCUGUGAUGUCGUGGGCCUGGUCCUCUUCCUGGUGGGCAUCCUCGCUCCGCUGACCUUCUGGGAUUUGUUUGUGCUCUCCGGGCCUCUCGUCAUCUUCCUCAGCCUGGUGUUCUGGAUCUUCUGGUACCUGGGGAACCUCACUGUGCCAUAUAAAGAGCUGUUGCCACUUUAAGGCAGAUAGCGAUUCUGUAUCUACCGGGAAAUUGACAGGCUGGCAAGAGCUAAUCUCUCAUACAUAAAUACAGAGUUAAAGGGCUGAGCAGCAAGCUGAUGUCAAAUCUUAUGACCGACAAUGAGGAGUUUACACAGACUGAACUUACGCCUGACAAUGAUUUAAACGUACAUUUGAAUUCUCACGGCUUUUGAAGUCAAUUACGUCUUUAAACGUACCAAACCACGAGUUACCAGGGGUUCGAAGAUGAAAACUCUCCAUUUUGAGGCACUUGAAUAUGUAUAAUAACGUUGUACUUCCUUGUAAAAACCUGUGGUUGUAUUUAUGGUUAAUAAACUAUGUUCACUAUGAAUUUUA
Alosa sapidissima (American shad) is the source of this 1261-nucleotide long non-coding RNA. RefSeq lists it as uncharacterized. NCBI's taxonomy places the organism in Eukaryota, Metazoa, Chordata, Actinopteri, Clupeiformes, Clupeidae. The transcript is spliced from 2 exons. The record is from RefSeq and is a predicted model, not a curated record.